This 905-nucleotide ribosomal RNA is filed under the name uncultured bacterium. RNAcentral's name for it is "bacterial SSU rRNA". It matches the Rfam family "Bacterial small subunit ribosomal RNA", at positions 8 to 916 of the family's 1533-position model. The record is from RNAcentral.
AGAGUUUGAUCAUGGCUCAGGAUGAACGCUAGCGGGAGGCCUAACACAUGCAAGCCGAGCGGUAGAUUACUUUCGGGUAAUUGAGAGCGGCGUACGGGUGCGGAACACGUGUGCAACCUGCCUUUAUCAGGGGGAUAGCCUUUCGAAAGGAAGAUUAAUACCCCAUAAUAUAUUAUUCGGCAUCGGGUGAUAUUGAAGACUACGGUGGAUAGAGAUGGGCACGCGCAAGAUUAGCUAGUUGGUGAGGUAACGGCUCACCAAGGCGACGAUCUUUAGGGGGCCUGAGAGGGUGAUCCCCCACACUGGUACUGAGACACGGACCAGACUCCUACGGGAGGCAGCAGUGAGGAAUAUUGGACAAUGGGUGGAAGCCUGAUCCAGCCAUCCCGCGUGCAGGAAGACGGCCCUAUGGGUUGUAAACUGCUUUUAUCUGGGGAUAAACCUACUUACGUGUAAGUAGCUGAAGGUACCAGAAGAAUAAGCACCGGCUAACUCUGUGCCAGCAGCCGCGGUAAUACGGAGGGUGCAAGCGUUAUCCGGAUUUAUUGGGUUUAAAGGGUCCGUAGGCGGACUGAUAAGUCAGUGGUGAAAUCCGACAGCUUAACUGUCGAACUGCCAUUGAUACUGUUAGUCUUGAGUAAGGUUGAAGUGGCUGGAAUAAGUAGUGUAGCGGUGAAAUGCAUAGAUAUUACUUAGAACACCAAUUGCGAAGGCAGGUCACUAAGUCUUAACUGACGCUGAUGGACGAAAGCGUGGGGAGCGAACAGGAUUAGAUACCCUGGUAGUCCACGCCGUAAACGAUGAUUACUCGUUUUUGGGUUUUAUGAUUCAGAGACUGAGCGAAAGUGAUAAGUAAUCCACCUGGGGAGUACGUUCGCAAAAAUGAAACUCAAAUGAAUUGACGG